GGGCAGUUAGCUCAGCUGGUAGAGCGCUACAUUUACACUGUAGAUGUCAUAGGUUCGAGUCCUAUACUGCCCACCA
This 76-nucleotide transfer RNA is filed under the name Candidatus Kuenenbacteria bacterium. Its description in RNAcentral is "tRNA-Val". It matches the Rfam family "tRNA". From Rfam's summary of the family: Transfer RNA (tRNA) molecules are approximately 80 nucleotides in length. The record is from RNAcentral. Lineage: Bacteria; Candidatus Kueneniibacteriota.